RNAcentral lists this ribosomal RNA (429 nucleotides) under Acidobacteriota bacterium. RNAcentral describes it as "Acidobacteria bacterium partial 16S ribosomal RNA". It matches the Rfam family "Bacterial small subunit ribosomal RNA", at positions 355 to 776 of the family's 1533-position model. The record is from RNAcentral. Lineage: Bacteria; Pseudomonadati; Acidobacteriota.
UGGGGAAUUUUGGACAAUGGGGGAAACCCUGAUCCAGCCAUCCCGCGUGUGCGAUGAAGGCCUUCGGGUUGUAAAGCACUUUUGGCAGGAAAGAAACGUCAUGGGUUAAUACCCCGUGAAACUGACGGUACCUGCAGAAUAAGCACCGGCUAACUACGUGCCAGCAGCCGCGGUAAUACGUAGGGUGCAAGCGUUAAUCGGAAUUACUGGGCGUAAAGCGUGCGCAGGCGGUUCGGAAAGAAAGAUGUGAAAUCCCAGAGCUCAACUUUGGAACUGCAUUUUUAACUACCGAGCUAGAGUGUGUCAGAGGGAGGUGGAAUUCCGCGUGUAGCAGUGAAAUGCGUAGAUAUGCGGAGGAACACCGAUGGCGAAGGCAGCCUACUGGGAUAACACUGACGCUCAUGCACGAAAGCGUGGGGAGCAAACAGG